AGUAGCCGCGGUAAUACGAAGGGUGCAAGCGUUACUCGGAAUUACUGGGCGUAAAGCGUGCGUAGGUGGUGGUUUAAGUCCGUUGUGAAAGCCCUGGGCUCAACCUGGGAAUUGCAGUGGAUACUGGGUCACUAGAGUGUGGUAGAGGAUAGUGGAAUUUCCGGUGUAGCAGUGAAAUGCGUAGAGAUCGGAAGGAACAUCUGUGGCGAAGGCGACUAUCUGGGCCAACACUGACACUGAGGCACGAAAGCGUGGGGAGCAAACAGGAUUAGAUACCCAGUAGUCCCUGUCUCUUAUACAC
RNAcentral lists this ribosomal RNA (301 nucleotides) under uncultured bacterium. RNAcentral describes it as "partial 16S ribosomal RNA". It matches the Rfam family "Bacterial small subunit ribosomal RNA", at positions 510 to 809 of the family's 1533-position model. The record is from RNAcentral.